Molecule: ribosomal RNA, 465 nt
Filed under: Vreelandella stevensii
Lineage: Bacteria; Pseudomonadati; Pseudomonadota; Gammaproteobacteria; Oceanospirillales; Halomonadaceae
Description: partial 16S ribosomal RNA
Rfam family: Bacterial small subunit ribosomal RNA
Source: RNAcentral
CCUACGGGGGGCUGCAGUGGGGAAUAUUGGACAAUGGGGGGAACCCUGAUCCAGCCAUGCCGCGUGUGUGAAGAAGACCCUCGGGUUGUAAAGCACUUUCAGUGAGGAAGAACGCCUGGUGGUUAAUACCCAUCAGGAAAGACAUCACUCACAGAAGAAGCACCGGCUAACUCCGUGCCAGCAGCCGCGGUAAUACGGAGGGUGCGAGCGUUAAUCGGAAUUACUGGGCGUAAAGCGCGCGUAGGUGGCUUGAUAAGCCGGUUGUGAAAGCCCCGGGCUCAACCUGGGAACGGCAUCCGGAACUGUCAAGCUAGAGUGCAGGAGAGGAAGGUAGAAUUCCCGGUGUAGCGGUGAAAUGCGUAGAGAUCGGGAGGAAUACCAGUGGCGAAGGCGGCCUUCUGGACUGACACUGACACUGAGGUGCGAAAGCGUGGGUAGCAAACAGGAUUAGAUACCCUUGUAGUC